AAACUACACCUCUUACCUGAAUCUUUACCGAUCAAGGUCAGCGUCUGAUUGCCCCUCCCACCCACUCCUCAUACUGACACAACAUAUCACAUUUCAUAUCUUCUUACUCCUUGGUGGGCCCUCUUUAUUUACAGGCCUACCGUAUCGUCGGUAUCGGCACACCUCAACCGACUUGCUCUCUUUUAUUCCAGUUCAUAUUUGAAGCUCACUCCUUAUACAAAUA
Pelobates cultripes (western spadefoot toad) is the source of this 223-nucleotide non-coding RNA. The record is from the annotation of a GenBank genome assembly. Lineage: Eukaryota; Metazoa; Chordata; Amphibia; Anura; Pelobatidae.